AAAAAAUCUAACGACAGUACAAUAGUGAAUUUAAAUAUUUGGCUUCUCUGCCUUCCCAGCUGUGAAAUGGCUGGGAUUUCCAAGUGGAAGAUGAAGAGAACACAGCCUUUUGGGAUUUUCUUCAAGAAACCUGUUUUAAUGCAUCAUUUCUAACAAAGAGUCUCUUCUGGCAUAAACUGACAUGACUCCACUAAUUCUGACAUCCCUCAGCCAAAGCCUUGGUCCUUCCAAAAUAUUUAUAGUAGAUGUAAUUUGUUUUCCCAGCAGCAUAUUCCCUUUGAAAUUAAUAAAAUAGUAGAAGCCAGGAUGCCUUGGGAUGAUGAAAGAAUCGGGGCAUGGGAUUCAGGUUCUGCCCUAGAUACACAAUCGGCAUAUCAGAUAUUUCAGACAGACCUUUCCACCCAUCAUCUGGGCUCUGAUUUGUUUUUUUGGGCAGCCUGUGCCCUGGCCUACAUUUUGCUGCAUGCACCAUCUUAGCGUUACUGCCUCUUUCCCAACUUGCUCUGGGGAUAGCAUGGCCCUGAUGUCACAAAAGUGAGAAGGCUGGGAAGAUGGACAGAGAAAACAGAAAAAGGGAGGAGGAAACAGAAACGUCCAAAUAAAUGUAGUCUCCUCUACUUGCUUUGUUUUUCCAUCCUCGCCAUAGGCUCAUGUUCAAGACAUUACAGUCUGUUGCCAUAACACUUGUCCUGGUACCAAGGAGCCAGCUAACUGGCUUCUGCACAAAGGCAGGUUAAUAAAAAUAAUUCUUGUGACAACCAAGGGAGAAAAUGACCUUUUGCAUUUUUUCUCCUUCAAGCAGAGGAUCAGAAACCAAGGGAAGCAAGGACAGAGAAUGUUCUGGGACUGAAUGGGGAAGUGCAGAUGGGCUCGAAUUGAGUGUUUACACAAAGAACUGGUCCUUCCCUUUUACAGUUUAUUCUAGAUGUUUUUUCACCCGCUUCUGCCACACUCACUGGUAACUGUCGGUGCUUCCCAGGCUGUCCUUGGUGCAGGGAGGAGAGCCGUUGACUGAAAAGGAAUGCUUCUGGAAGCAUCUCUCCAACCCCAUGAGACUGCUGCUUUCCAGAGAAUGAGUCAAUAUUCUUUCUUCUUACCCAUCUGACAAACUACAAAGCCUCGGAUUUUGUAAUGACACGAGCAGGCAAGGCUGUCUUUGACAGUUUGCUUUGUUAAAUGCAUCAGGUAUCAGAUGCUGCUUGCCAUUUCUUUCUUUCUUUACAGGCCACCAAAACCAGCUAAUUUUGUGAGAAGCAAACUACAAAGGAGAUCUUUUUAUUUAUAAAUUGAGAAGCUGGUUUCCCAGCUGUGUCAGUGCUAGAGUUAAGUGUGCCUCAUCUUAAAAGCUAAGUGGUCCAUGAGCUGGUUGGAUGGAUGAUGCCCAAGUAAUGUCCCGUGCUGGAGGCACAAUGAGCUGUAGUCGAUAUGAGUGAAUCUUGGAACAUGGAAAGCAAAUGAAUUAUAAAACCCUUCUCAUUACUGCUAGCAGUCCAUUUAGAGGAGGAAAAAAAUACUGGUUAUUUAGAAUAUAUAAUGAAAGUAGAGGACAUACAUUGAAGUCUUUGGUGUGAGAGAUUAAUGGAUCGGACUGAGAAAUUCUUUCCCAGGUAACAUCUUACAGUGCAUACGUUACGUACUAUAAGGUUUUGAUCCAGCUUUUCUUUGCCUGGCUCUGCAGGGUGUUGUGUUAUUUACUACUUUUGCUUUUUGUACAAUCAACCAGACAGGAAGAAAUACAUGGUUGGGAAGUGCAUGAAAUGAUAGCUUUCUGGUGUGGUAAAAAGAGCAGUAGGGAGGCAGAAGAGGAAAAAUAUGUGCCUCUGACCCACAUGCAGAAGUCCCAAAACGUUUUGCUUAUGGCUUUUGUAACAGUGAAUCUCAUGCAAUUGAGUGGGUGGCAGCCCUGGCCAAGGCAGAGAGGGUGGAACUAGAUGAUUUUUAAGGUCUCUUCCAAUCCAAGCCAUUCUAUGAUUCUAUGAGAUACUUUAGUUUUUGAACAGAAGAGUGAAACUAAUGUUUGGAAGACUGAUGUUUCUGGUUCUCCACUAGUCCUGAAGAAAGGAGGCACAGGGAGCAUUAAAUCACGCUGCACUUUUAAACAUUCUUCUCUCAUUCCAUGUUUAACAGAAAAAAAAUGAAGUUGUUCAGUUGCAUGAGAGAUACUAUCACCUUCAGAGACAUAUUUAAGACUGUAGGGAAUGGAAAGCAAAAGAGCAGUGGGAUAACCUCAACAACACCACAGAAAUAAUGGAAUCAAUUUUCUUGAACAAAGGCAAGGAUCCUUCAGCUCUGAAUCACACAUUGUGAAUUUCUGCAGAGUCACGUGGAGAUGAAGAGAGUGUCGUACUUUAAGACUUGAAAAACACUUCCUGACUCCUUUCUUAAACAGAGUUUUCAAGUUUAAGAUAAGACACAUGGUAUAGAAAGAUGAUGACAGGCUUGUGCCAUAUGGAAAAUAGAAAUCACUGCUUUCAUAAUAUAGGGCAAAGCCUCAGCAUCAGUGGUACAGAUGAGGUCAGUGUAGCUAUUACUGAAGUUCAUCCCACUUAGCAUGCUGAGAUAAGGCUUCUCACAGCCACUGAUCCGUGACUCUGAAAGGCAGGAAUAUUAGCAAGUGGCAUCUGAAGAAGUUUGUAUGGCUAUGAGAGCUCUGAAAAGAGAAUUCAGUGUGCCCGUUACCUAUAGUGUCAGUGAGCACCCCUACUGCACUGGUAAAGGCCUAAUUCUGACUGAUUUGUGUCACUGUCCAUCCAGGUUCCUGGCCCUCCGUGUUCAGUGACACUAACACACCAACCAGAGGGGGUUGAUUCCCUCACCAGUGAUACUUAUCCGUACAACAGCAUUAGGUAUGAGAAUUACUCUGUUCCCCAGAUCCCUAUUUGAGCUGUUUGUCAGCUAGAAGACCAAAUAACUUACAGUCUGCAGUAAGAUAGUGAACAGUUUCACAAGGCUAUGGAUCACAAUGGUUAUUGAAGCCUGCAUGUUUUGGAGGUAUGCAAGAAAGCAGGCUGCAAAAACUGACACAUAUCCAAGAGAACACUUCAGCUGUGCUAAAAAGAGAAAAGGGGAGAGUGACAGAGGCCAGCUCCUUCGUUACUCCCAGAUGGAUAUCAGCAGAGUGUAUACAGGCUGUUUCCUAAUGAGAGGAAGUGCUAUGGUUUUGCAGGUGUAUUUUUGUAUUUCAGUCAUUUCCACCUAUUUAGGUUUUCUGUCAGAAUGCAACAGAAACUCGGCUUGUUUUUUGUCUUUGUUCUGUGGUUUUGCCUAGGGGCUGACAUACAUCAUCACCCAAUUUCUGUCGUGCUGCAGACCUUGCAGUAUGGGACUACAUGCUGUGAUCAUUAAUAAGAAACUCAAAAAAUUAGGGGAGAUUCAGAUCUCCAGUGCAAUCUGUCUUUAGAUGUAGAGGUCUGGUUUCAUCAAUUUCUAUUGAAGUUCUCAUUUGCGGCCGCCUUGGACUGGGCUGUGCUGGUGAUGACACAUGGAGGAUCAGAUAUAAUGCUCAGAAGAUGUUGUUACAAUGAGUUGAUCUCAUCAAUCUGACAAAGAGAACUUUAAGCUGUAAUUCCUGUGUUGAUGACAACGAUUUCUGCUUCAGGUAAAGCAUCUAUUUUAGGACAAGCAUCAUAUCUGGAUGUAAAGACAUUAUCUCACUAGUCUUGAGAACUUGCUCUAUGCACAGAUAGACUGUUAGUUAUUGUUUCUUUUAAAUGUCUCUGUAUCCACAUACUCAUUGACUCUUAUUUUGACAUUUGUCCAUAAGAGCUUGAAAAAUAAUGUUUGGCACGUUAAAGACCUUCAUCACUUCCCCAGCAUUAUUUAUUUAUGUAUUAAAUUAGUGAGGAGGAAGGAGUUCAGGUGCCAUGAAACUUUAUUGCUUUUUUUAACAUUUGAUUAUUUUUCUACUUUUGUGACGUUCUGUGUUUUAACACUGAAAAGCAACUGUUGGUUUCACAGUGUCUGUAGUCCAGGGCUACCAGAUAGUGGGUAAGUAACCUCCAUAACAUUAGGAAGAGAUUCCUUACUCCAUAAGAAGCCAUUAUAACUCACAUCACUGCUACUAUGUUUGUUUUGUGGCUGAUGUAGGUGACAUUUUCUGGUGUACUUUCUUCAUGUGUGCUCACUUUUUAGUAGGAAUCCAGAGAAUAUCUAAUAUUCUCUCUAUAAGAAAUAAUACAAAAUCCUUUGUCUCAGCUUGAAUUUCCCAAAAGGAACAGUCUUUUCUGGUAUUUGAGUCCCAAGUAAUCGUCCAACAUCAUGUUCCAUGCAACCUGGAACCCAAGAUUUCUAGUUUGGUUCCCUUUCCUUUUUCUUCAACAUCUUCUAAUCUGAUGAUAAAUAUUGUCAUUCAGUUUGGGAAGUGAAUCUUCAAAGAUGUGACUCAGAUAAGAAUUAGAGGGGUAAGAAUACACAGAUUUUUGGGGGUUACUUAUAAAAAAGAGGAGUUUCAAAGGUUUGGGGUGUUUUUGUUUGUUUGUUUGUUUGCAUGUUUUUGGUUGUUGGUUUGUGGGGUUUUUUUUGUUUUUUUUUGAAGGGAGGGAAGGAGAGGACCACUGCUUAUGGCCAAAACGAAGGAACUUUAUGUUUAAAAUAGACAAAAAGAUGUUAAGGUUUUGUCAAUAUCAGUUUGAGCUCCCCAUUAAUCUUUGUCAGUUGUUUAAAGUACAUAUAACUGAACCUCAUCAACCAUGUCUAAUACACUCCACUCACUCCAUAAAGUAGUCACAUUCUGCCACAGCCCAGUUUUUCACAGAGCACGGUAGUGGAGAUCUCCUUUUAGCUCUGAUAGUGACCUGAAUAUUGGACAUUAGGUAAGUUUACUUCCCCUCCUCUUCUCAGUCCCUGUCUAUAGAAAUGAGUUGUGGCAAUCACCUUCUUUCUUGGAUGGGAAGGGAUAAAAAGUGCUAUAAGAUAAUUAAAUUGUACUCUUUUAAUUAGACAGACAAUAAAGCAACUCUUCUUAGAAAACAAGUAUUUGUUCCUGUCAAGUAAGGAUAUCCUGUACCAAUCCAUCUCAUUAUGCAGAAUAUAUUGCGUACAAAAUUCAUUCUAUAUGAUAAUUCUGGAAACAUAACAGCUGACUGCAUCUCCCCAGGGGCUGCAGGCCAGGAGGUGUGCGCUUGGUUCUGAGCAUGCCAGCUGCACAGAAAGGAGGUUACAGUGGCAGUACAGACAUACAUCACCAGUGUCCGUGUGUUACACCAGCCUGCAUGUUUUUUCUGUAGGCUCAUGCUGCAUGAAUCAGCUACUAAUGAGGUCCAUAAUAAAGGAGACUAUUAAGAGAACACUGCAUUAAUAAUGCUGGCAAAGUCCCGAGACUACAGACGUUAUUUAUAGCAUAUGACUAAACAAAUAUGCAUCUCCUUUGAGGCUGAGACUCUGGGCUAAUUUACUGAUUUCCUGCACAGGCUGGUUCAUACGGAGAUUUGAGUAAAUAGUGCAUUUGGAUGUCUUGUUUGGAAGUAUGUUUUGAAACACUAAUCAUAUUAAUAUUGAAUUCUAAAGCGGAUUGGAAAUUUGUGUGUGUUUUCAGAGGAUUACGUAGUGCUCCUGUCCAGUUCUCGUGGAAAUGUGUUUUUCUGCAUUGCUUCUUUAAGGAAAAUAAAAAAUUUGAAGAGUACUGCCUGCAGCUACAGAGCUCUUAAAAUGAGCAGGAAGGUUAGAAACAGUUCUGAAAAAUGAUGAACUUUAGCAAAAGCCAAAAAAAUUACAUAUCCUCUUCUUUACAUCCUGCUUCAAAUUGAAUUCCUUUUUCUUUUUCUUUUUUCUUUUUUUUUUUUUAUGGAGAUUAAUUGCUAUUGAGAGAGAAUUGAAGAUUUAAAUGCAUUUGAGUAAUGAAUCGCUUGAUUUAUGCUUUUGUUUUUUGUCUGCCUCAGAUACAGCAAGUUUAGAGAGGCCUUCAGAACUGCAGGAAGCUGCAAGCUCACAAAAUUCCCUUGUACAGUCUGCUGAUUUUAUGUGUGUCAGGAGAAAUAGGAGAAAUAUUAUACAGCAAAGUGAAUGUGUCCUGAACUAAGAUGCUUCCAUGCACAGCAUCUCUCUUUUAAGUAGUAAGGCUGAUCAUUCAACAACUUCCUUCAAAUUUCUCACAUAACUUAAAAACAAAACAGCCAUGACAACGUAUAGAAAGGCAAAAAUAUAGUUUGUGAAACACCUCUGCUUUUAUGUCUUAUCUGAUUACUCUCCUCGUUUAAAUUCCCGAAUAAAAACAGUUGAAAAUGAUACAUACUGACAUGUAAAAACAGUUGACUGUAUGAUGCCCAAAGAAUUUGAUAAGAAAAUAUCACUUACCAUUGCUAAGUAUCUUCUUACUUAGGUAGGUUAUUAUCAUCCCCUCUUAGGCAUGGAAUUCACAGCAGAGUCAGCUCCCUGCGUGUUGAACACUUGACAAAAUAAUAAAUGCAGUGCAACUCCACAGUGUUUGGAUAUUUGACUGUAGCUCCUGAACACUCAAAGUGACUACUCAAUAUAACAAUUUUCCUUAGCAGAAAAUGCCUUGCUAUUUGCCAGCAAAUCUUUAAUGCUUUAGAUUGGGUAUUUCCAACUACCGCCCUACUUGCGAGGCAGAUGUGUAUAAAAGAGAUGUUAUUUCACUGAAUCAACCACUGAGAUCGUAACCCUUUUCCUGUACCACAAACAGAAAUGUAAAACCUCAGACUUUCCUUUUGGACUUCACUGACUUGUGUCUGUUGUAAGAAAGCAAAACACAACUACUCCAAAGGCUAAUAUAUGGAAAAAUGUGUUAAAAUGUUUUAGAUCAUCUCAAUACCUCUAAUUCCUGCCAUUCAUUGGUUAACUGGCUCGUUCUGUGUUUAUGUAGUUGCAUGGUACAAAUACAGCACCUAAACUCCUUGCCCAAAGUUGAAAUGAUUCAUUUAUUACUCUUAGCCCAAAAAGAAAGGGGGGUGAGGGGGGAAGAAGAAAGAAAAUACACAGUGUUCAUUUAACCCAAGUGACUGAAAACGCCUUUCAUAAGCUCUGCAAGGGCUUGGGGAACUUGGUCUUGGGUGAAUAAAGUCUGUGUAGUGGAGCAAAUGGUUUUGUCUCAGGAUGACAGAAAUUAAGCUAAAGAAAAGAUAAAUUGGGACACUUUUGCUUCUAGAAAAGAAGAUAAUAGGAAGGGAGGUGGAAAUGGUUUUUGUAUCAGAGUGCUUUGGGGAGGGGUUCGCUUUUUUGGGGAAGGGGAGGAGACAGAAGGAGAAUGGCAGGAGGGAGGAGGUGUGUUUGUGGGGGUUCCUAAGUCCCUGCCAGUGAUCUGUGCUCUGCAAUUACAUCACUGGUCAGUGUUAAUUUAUUACCUUUUUGUGAGGUAAUUACCUUAAAUAUAUAGUGUAUAGAGUUUUCCAUCUUUUGAGUGCAUAUAAAUAUGAGUUAAUUAAAUGUUAUAGUCACUGCGGAGAAAUCACAAGAGGGACCAUGACUGGAGACCGUACUACAUUAGAAGUGGGGAACAAGACUGAGUGAAGACAUCUCUGCUACAUUGCCUGUUCUGGGGAGAUCCGUGUGAUAAGCCACUGUUCCAUAGGAUUUACCACGCUGACUUCUGAGAUUGGCUGUGGACUCAGUGAGUUACUGGAAAAAAUCGAAAUACAAUGGGUAGCCCUUGUUUCCCUGACUGUGUCCCAGCCACAGUACGAGUACCUCUAGCACAGCUCUGAUGGGACAGUGUUAUUCUGCCUUCAUUCAUCAUCCAGAUGGGUAUUAGACUUAAUCAAAUUCUAGCACUAACAGCUUGUUUCAGGACCACAGCUGGAAUCAGCAUGUCUAGACUAGCAUUGAUUUAUUCCUGGCUCCCAGACCUAUGUGCUAGCUACUAUUCCAUAUGCUUUUUGUUAGGGGUAAUAAUGCCAUUUCACGGCGUAACUUUCUUUUUUCUUUUUUUUCUUUCUUCUUCCCUUUUUCUUGAAAUUAGAAUUUAUUUUAAUAUGUGGGAAAAUGCCCUGCUGCUGCUCUGGAUGAGACUGCUGCCAAUUCUGCUGACACAGAGCAAGCUUCCAGAUAAACAAAAUAAAGUUCACAAAGGAAACAGUUAAAUUUUCUGACUGCCGUCUCUCUGUCACAGAAAAUGCUAAAUGCAUUUGUAAGUUAUAUAAAACUGCAUCAGUUCAUAUUUUUCCUUGCUGGUUUCACAGCCCAGGGACCUAGUGACAU
Non-coding RNA from Meleagris gallopavo (turkey), 8151 nucleotides. NCBI's taxonomy places the organism in Eukaryota, Metazoa, Chordata, Aves, Galliformes, Phasianidae. The record is from RefSeq and is a predicted model, not a curated record.